Molecule: ribosomal RNA, 490 nt
Filed under: uncultured bacterium
Lineage: Bacteria
Description: partial 16S ribosomal RNA
Rfam family: Bacterial small subunit ribosomal RNA
Source: RNAcentral
AUUGAACGCUGGCGGCAGGCCUAACACAUGCAAGUCGAACGGUAACAGGAAACAGCUUGCUGUUUCGCUGACGAGUGGCGGACGGGUGAGUAAUGUCUGGGAAACUGCCUGAUGGAGGGGGAUAACUACUGGAAAGGGUAGCUAAUACCGCAUAACUCCGCAAGACAAAAGAGGGGGACCUUGGGGCCUCUGGCCAUGGGAGGUGCCCAGAUGGGAUUGGCUAGUGGGUGGGGUAACGGCUCACCUGGGCGACGAUCCCUAGCUGGUCUGAGAGGAUGACCAGCCACACUGGAACUGGGACACGGUCCAGACUCCUACGGGAGGCAGCAGUGGGGAAUAUUGCACAAUGGGCGCAAGCCUGAUGCAGCCAUGCCGCGUGUAUGAAGAAGGCCUUCGGGUUGUAAAGUACUUUCAGCGGGGAGGAAGGGAGUAAAGUUAAUACCUUUACUCAUUGACGUUACCCGCAGAAGAAGCACCGGCUAUCUCCGUG